GGCAGAAUCCCAGGGGAGGUGAGUUCCUUCUCUUUCUCCUCCUCUCUCUCUGUUCAAUGCUUCAGCAACUGGGCUCCAGCGUCUCUAGCCUUCUCCAACUCUGAAAGACGGAUGCCAUGCGUCGACUCUUACUCCACUACAGAACAGAAGCUGUUUGGUUGAUGCUGCGAGACCUGCUGAGCUUUUCCAGCGAUUUCUGUUUCCGCUUCGGUCAACAAUAUUGCUGUGGGCCUGGAGUCACAUGGAGGCCUGAUCAGGUGGUAUGGUGGAUUUGAACUCAUGCCCAGCUUGGGCCUGAGAGAAAGGAGGCUGUAACAGGCUGAUUUAAUGUGAGUCGAAGGAUGUUUGUGUGGACAAGAAAGGCUAGUACAGGAGAACUCCCACCCCAAGUGCAUUUUGGGUCAACCUACAGCACAUGGACUACAGCGGAUCAAGAAGGCAGCUCACCACCACCUUCUCAAGGGGCAACUAGGGACGGGGCAAUAAAUGUUGACUCAGUCAGCGAUGCCCACAUCAUGAAGAUGAAUUUUUAAAAAAGCAUUUGGUAGGGCCUAUCCCA
Stegostoma tigrinum is the source of this 559-nucleotide long non-coding RNA. RefSeq lists it as uncharacterized. NCBI's taxonomy places the organism in Eukaryota, Metazoa, Chordata, Chondrichthyes, Orectolobiformes, Stegostomatidae. The transcript has 4 exons. The record is from RefSeq and is a predicted model, not a curated record.